RNAcentral lists this ribosomal RNA (606 nucleotides) under Cylindromonium alloxyli. RNAcentral's name for it is "partial large subunit ribosomal RNA". It matches the Rfam family "Eukaryotic large subunit ribosomal RNA", at positions 88 to 722 of the family's 3401-position model. Lineage: Eukaryota; Fungi; Ascomycota; Sordariomycetes; Hypocreales; Trichonectriaceae. The record is from RNAcentral.
GGCGAGUGAAGCGGCAACAGCUCAAAUUUGAAAUCUGGCCUUCUGGUCCGAGUUGUAAUUUGUAGAGGAUGCUUUUGGUGCGGUGCCUUCCGAGUUCCCUGGAACGGGACGCCAUAGAGGGUGAGAGCCCCGUCUGGUUGGACACCAAGCCUCUGUAAAGCUCCUUCGACGAGUCGAGUAGUUUGGGAAUGCUGCUCUAAAUGGGAGGUAUAUGUCUUCUAAAGCUAAAUACCGGCCAGAGACCGAUAGCGCACAAGUAGAGUGAUCGAAAGAUGAAAAGCACUUUGAAAAGAGGGUUAAAAAGUACGUGAAAUUGUUAAAAGGGAAGCGUUUAUGACCAGACUUGGACUUGGUUGAUCAUCCGGUGUUCUCACCGGUGCACUCUUCUAGUUCAGGCCAGCAUCAGUUCGUAGCGGGGGAUAAAGGCAGUAGGAAUGUGGCUCCUCGGAGUGUUAUAGCCUAUUGUGUAAUACCCUGUCUCGGACUGAGGUUCGCGCUUCCGCAAGGAUGCUGGCGUAAUGGACAUCAACGACCCGUCUUGAAACACGGACCAAGGAGUCGUCUUCGUAUGCGAGUGUUCGGGUGUCAAACCCCUACGCGUAAUGA